Molecule: ribosomal RNA, 305 nt
Filed under: uncultured actinomycete
Lineage: Bacteria; Bacillati; Actinomycetota; Actinomycetes; Actinomycetales
Description: bacterial SSU rRNA
Rfam family: Bacterial small subunit ribosomal RNA
Source: RNAcentral
AUUGGAUGAGCCCGCGGCCUAUUAGCUUGUUGGUAGGGUAACGGCCUACCAAGGCUUCGAUGGGUAGCCGGCCUGAGAGGGUGUACGGCCACACUGGAACUUAGACACGGUCCAGACUCCUACGGGAGGCAGCAGUGGGGAAUUUUGCGCAAUGGGCGAAAGCCUGACGCAGCGACGCCGCGUGCGGGAUGAAGGCCUUCGGGUUGUAAACUCCUGUCAGAGGUGAAGAAAGUCUCCUUCGGGAGGCCUGACGGUAACCUCAGAGGAAGCCCCGGCUAACUACGUGCCAGCAGCCGCGGCCGAAU